GAUCAUGGCUCAGGAUGAACGCUAGCUACAGGCUAACACAUGCAAGUCGAGGGGCAGCGAGAGGAAGCUUGCUUCCUGUCGGCGACCGGCGCACGGGUGAGUAACGCGUAUCCAACCUUCCCCUUAGUAGGGCAUAGCCCGGCGAAAGUCGGAUUAAUACCCUAUGUUUUCCGAUGAGGACAUCUGAGCUGGAACAAAGAUUUAUCGCUAAGGGAUGGGGAUGCGUCUGAUUAGGUAGUCGGCGGGGUAACGGCCCACCGAGCCUACGAUCAGUAGGGGUUCUGAGAGGAAGGUCCCCCACAUUGGUACUGAGACACGGACCAAACUCCUACGGGAGGCAGCAGUGAGGAAUAUUGGUCAAUGGGCGCGAGCCUGAACCAGCCAAGUAGCGUGCAGGAAGAACCUGCCCUAUGGGUUGUAAACUGCUUUUAUGCGGGGAUAAAGUGCAGCACGUGUGCUGUUUUGUAGGUACCGCAUGAAUAAGGACCGGCUAAUUCCGUGCCAGCCGCUGC
This 512-nucleotide ribosomal RNA is filed under the name uncultured bacterium. RNAcentral's name for it is "bacterial SSU rRNA". It matches the Rfam family "Bacterial small subunit ribosomal RNA", at positions 15 to 518 of the family's 1533-position model. The record is from RNAcentral.